GGGUGGUUAGUUCAGCUGGUAGAGCGCCACGUUGACAUCGUGGAGGUCGUUGGUUCGAGUCCAAUACCACCCACCA
This 76-nucleotide transfer RNA is filed under the name Tissierellales bacterium. RNAcentral describes it as "tRNA-Val". It matches the Rfam family "tRNA". Rfam says of the family: Transfer RNA (tRNA) molecules are approximately 80 nucleotides in length. The record is from RNAcentral. Lineage: Bacteria; Bacillati; Bacillota; Tissierellia; Tissierellales.